GACUCUGAAUCCAGCGAUCCGAG
Molecule: non-coding RNA, 23 nt
Filed under: Drosophila melanogaster (fruit fly)
Lineage: Eukaryota; Metazoa; Arthropoda; Insecta; Diptera; Drosophilidae
Also listed under: 3 other names
Source: RNAcentral